UUCAGCAGCCAUAUCACCCUGCAACUCACAACUGGCAGCCCACUGAAGCUCAGCAGGUGUGAGCCUGGUCAGUACCUGGAUGGGAGACCUCCUGGGAAAAAUUAAGGUUGCUGCUGGAA
Lepisosteus oculatus (spotted gar) is the source of this 119-nucleotide ribosomal RNA. The record is from Ensembl. Lineage: Eukaryota; Metazoa; Chordata; Actinopteri; Semionotiformes; Lepisosteidae.